UACGUAGGGAGCAAGCGUUGUUCGGAUUUACUGGGCGUAAAGCGCGUGUAGGCGGUCCGGUAAGUCCGCUGUGAAAGUCGAGGGCUCAACCCUCGAAUGCCGGUGGAUACUGUCGGGCUUGAGUACGGGAGAGGCGAGUGGAAUUCCUGGUGUAGCGGUGAAAUGCGCAGAUAUCAGGAGGAACACCGAUUGCGAAGGCAGCUCGCUGGGACGUGACUGACGCUGAGACGCGAAAGCGUGGGGAGCAAACAGG
RNAcentral lists this ribosomal RNA (253 nucleotides) under uncultured bacterium. RNAcentral's name for it is "partial 16S ribosomal RNA". It matches the Rfam family "Bacterial small subunit ribosomal RNA", at positions 524 to 776 of the family's 1533-position model. The record is from RNAcentral.